UACGUAGGGUGCGAGCGUUAAUCGGAAUUACUGGGCGUAAAGCGUGCGCAGGCGGUUCGUUGUGUCGGCGGUGAAAGCCCCGGGCUCAACCUAGGAAUGGCCGUUGAAACUGGCGAACUGGAGUGUGGCAGAGGGGGGUGGAAUUCCGCGUGUAGCAGUGAAAUGCGUAGAGAUGUGGAGGAACACCGAUGGCGAAGGCAGCCUCCUGGGCCAGCACUGACGCUCAUGCACGAAAGCGUGGGGAGCAAACAGG
This 253-nucleotide ribosomal RNA is filed under the name uncultured bacterium. RNAcentral's name for it is "partial 16S ribosomal RNA". It matches the Rfam family "Bacterial small subunit ribosomal RNA", at positions 524 to 776 of the family's 1533-position model. The record is from RNAcentral.